This 1308-nucleotide long non-coding RNA is filed under the name Fukomys damarensis (Damara mole-rat). RNAcentral's name for it is "lncRNA (ENSFDAG00000031458.1)". Lineage: Eukaryota; Metazoa; Chordata; Mammalia; Rodentia; Bathyergidae. The record is from RNAcentral.
AUGCAAGAAGACGAACCGUGUCACCCAGUGACUGAAAGGCGCUUGGCAGAUCGCCUGCGGCUGCGGUCAGCGCGGUCAGCUAUUUAUUUCCUGCCUGGCUUCUCCUCCCCUCUUCCAGGGCGGCCGACGCGGGCCGAGGACACCGGGUUCCGGGCUCCCCGUCCGCCUCCAGCUCCCGCCUGCAGGUGGCGCUGCUGCGACGGCGCCGGAGGCCGCAGACACCGCCUCUCUCUGGGCUCCGCCCUUCCGCGCCGAGGUGCCCUGUGCGGUCCGAUCCUGCCGGGAGGCGAGACCACCUUCCCCGAUCCCCAAACCCUAGCGUGCUGAGGGCUGUGGCCCGAACAGCCCUGCGGGGCCUGAACAGCAGCUUCUUUCUAACCAUCCCGUUGCCCCUUUGCCCUCGAGGGAGGCUACAGAAACGAGAACCCCUUUCUCCGCGCCAGGUCAUGGCGUCUCGUCCCCAAAGCCAGCCACACACCUGCCGUUCUCGCUCCAGCUUGGGCCAUUCUGGCCGAGGACAUUCCGGGCCCAGACUGGCACCUGGGUGGUCACGGCCCCUCCUUCCAGGACAGCUGUGUCCCCAGCUGGGAGCGGGGCGCCCCAGAGACUGAGCACAGCGCAAGCACUAGCGAGUCCAGCCACCCUUCCACGCAGCACUCCGGCCUCCCUUCUGCUGAUCCAGGCAGAAGGACAGCCUCUUCCCUGGGUCUCCGGGCCUGUCUCUGCAGGAUCCCACGUCACUGCAAACUUCGAUGACAUAAAUCUGGUUUUUGUUUGUCCAUUUGUUUUCUAAGAUAAAGCCUUGUUAUGUAGCCCAGGCAGGCCUUGAACCCAUGGUGAUCUUCCUGCCUCGGCCUCCCGAGUGCCGAAAUCACAGGCGAGCCUGUGCCUGGUUUAAUGAAAUACCAUAAACGUGUUGACUGUUGUCUUUUUCCUUAACUUUUGUAAUAGGAGUGACCUCUGUGACCCUGGUGAUGGGGGUAACAUGGCGCCUCAUCCCCACAGAGGCUGCAGGCAGGCGGAAUGUGGUCCCCUCCGUUCCCUGGGCUCCCCACUGCCAGGCCGCCCCAUGGCCUGGAGGGCUGUCAUCACGGCUUCAUCUCUCUCCCAUCCAAAUCCCAGCCAGUAGGAGAAGCCCUGAGUGUCCUGAAGAGAAGCAAUGUGGAGCCCCACGUGCCCCUCAGAGAGCUUCCAGGCCGGGUGUGGUGGUGCGUGCCAGCUGUCCCAGCACAUGGGAGGCUGAGGCAGAAGGAUCUCCGUGAGUUCAAGGUCAGUAUGGCGUACAUAGCGAAACUUUGUCUCAGAGAG